RNAcentral lists this ribosomal RNA (173 nucleotides) under uncultured bacterium. RNAcentral's name for it is "partial 16S ribosomal RNA". It matches the Rfam family "Bacterial small subunit ribosomal RNA", at positions 1320 to 1500 of the family's 1533-position model. The record is from RNAcentral.
AUGAAGUUGGAUUCGCUAGUAAUCGCGCAUCAGCCAUGGCACGGUGAAUACGUUCCCGGGCCUUGUACACACCGCCCGUCAAGCCAUGGGAGCCGGGGGUGCCUGAAGUUCGUGACCGCAAGGAGCGACCUAGGGCAAAACUGGUGACUGGGGCUAAGUCGUAACAAGGUAGC